Molecule: non-coding RNA, 23 nt
Filed under: Rattus norvegicus (Norway rat)
Lineage: Eukaryota; Metazoa; Chordata; Mammalia; Rodentia; Muridae
Source: RNAcentral
UUUAACAUGGCAGCCUCCGCGGU